UGGGGAAUAUUGGACAAUGGGGGCAACCCUGAUCCAGCCAUGCCGCGUGGGUGAAGAAGGCCUGCGGGUUGUAAAGCCCUUUCAGCGAGGAAGAAAGGCGGGGGAUGAAGAGUCCUCGGUUGUGACGUUACUCGCAGAAGAAGCACCGGCUAACUCCGUGCCAGCAGCCGCGGUAAUACGGAGGGUGCAAGCGUUAAUCGGAAUCACUGGGCGUAAAGCGCACGUAGGCGGCCUAAUCAGUCAGCUGUGAAAGCCCCGGGCUUAACCUGGGAAUGGCAGUUGAUACUGUUAGGCUCGAGUCUGUCAGAGGGGGGUGGAAUUCCAGGUGUAGCGGUGAAAUGCGUAGAGAUCUGGAGGAACACCAGUGGCGAAGGCGGCCCCCUGGGGCAAGACUGACGCUGAGGUGCGACAGCGUGGGGAGCAAACA
RNAcentral lists this ribosomal RNA (427 nucleotides) under uncultured Chromatiaceae bacterium. RNAcentral describes it as "partial 16S ribosomal RNA". It matches the Rfam family "Bacterial small subunit ribosomal RNA", at positions 355 to 774 of the family's 1533-position model. Lineage: Bacteria; Pseudomonadati; Pseudomonadota; Gammaproteobacteria; Chromatiales; Chromatiaceae. The record is from RNAcentral.